UACGUAGGUGGCAAGCGUUGUCCGGAAUUAUUGGGCGUAAAGCGCGCGCAGGCGGUCCUUUAAGUCUGAUGUGAAAGCCCACGGCUCAACCGUGGAGGGUCAUUGGAAACUAGGUAGCUUGAAGAUGGGAGAGGUAAGUGGAAUUCCGAGUGUAGAGGUGAAAUUCGUAGAUAUUCGGAAGAACACCAGUGGCGAAGGCGGCUUACUGGACCAUUCUUGACGCUGAGGUGCGAAAGCGUGGGGAGCAAACAGG
RNAcentral lists this unclassified non-coding RNA (253 nucleotides) under uncultured Caryophanales bacterium. RNAcentral describes it as "uncultured Bacillales bacterium contains 16S-23S intergenic spacer region". It matches the Rfam family "Bacterial small subunit ribosomal RNA", at positions 524 to 776 of the family's 1533-position model. The record is from RNAcentral. Lineage: Bacteria; Bacillati; Bacillota; Bacilli; Caryophanales.